Molecule: ribosomal RNA, 371 nt
Filed under: uncultured organism
Description: partial 16S ribosomal RNA
Rfam family: Bacterial small subunit ribosomal RNA
Source: RNAcentral
GUAGGUGGCAAGCGUUGUCCGGAAUUAUUGGGCGUAACGCGCGCGCAGGCGGUUCUUUAAGUCUGAUGUGAAAGCCCACGGGCUCAACCGUGAGGGUCAUUGGAAACUGGAGAACUUGAGUACAGAAGAGGAAAGCGGAAUUCCACGUGUAGCGGUGAAAUGCGUAGAGAUGUGGAGGAACACCAGUGGCGAAGGCGGCUUUCUGGUCUGUAACUGACGCUGAGGCGCGAAAGCGUGGGGAGCAAACAGGAUUAGAUACCCUGGUAGUCCACGCCGUAAACGAUGAGUGCUAAGUGUUAGGGGGUUUCCGCCCCUUAGUGCUGCAGCUAACGCAUUAAGCACUCCGCCUGGGGAGUACGGCCGCAAGGCUG